RNAcentral lists this long non-coding RNA (950 nucleotides) under Anser cygnoides (Swan goose). RNAcentral describes it as "lncRNA (ENSACDG00005008002.1)". Lineage: Eukaryota; Metazoa; Chordata; Aves; Anseriformes; Anatidae. The record is from RNAcentral.
GGCUAGCCACAUCAGCAGCUGUUACUAGACUCUUCAAUGGCAGAACAUGAAGGAGAGGAACUGCAAAAACCCUCCCAGGUCUAAUUGACUUGGAUGCUUCCCACAACUUCAGAAUAGCAAAACCUCUGGUCUGCUCGUCAAGAGGAAANNAAGAUGACUUGUUAAAAUACAGGCACCAAUUUCUCUGCUUCUGGUGUUCACUAAAGCUCAGACACUGGGAUUUCAUUGCUGGGCAAAUCCAGGAACAUUGGUAAUUUUGUGGCUCAAGUAAGUACAAAAUGUCAUUAAACCAUUUAUACUGGUUUACUGGUUGGUUAGUACAUACAAAAUUGCUGUGAGUAGGUGGAGCUGUUAGCUAUAUAACAGGAUGACAGAUUCCUUUUUCAACCCUGUUACAGUACAGUAGAGACCAACACCCGAAGUGCUUCAUGUUAAGUCUUCUGAGCAGUGUGGACAACACAGAUCUUGGAUGAGCAAGUAGAAAUAGUUUGGUAAGUUGUUUAUCACUGAUAGUAAGGAACAGACUAUAUCCACUAUAUUAUUGAACAUGCAAUUUAUAGAUGUAUCAUGGGUUUUAGUAGUAUUUUGACUAAUUUUCAGUGUGCGUUUUUGUUUGCUGUGCAUGGUGAGAAUAUAUAAUGAGCAGGCAUGGAUCACUUUUUUAUAUACUUUUCAUCUUUCCUACUCUGAUAUAUGCACUACUUUGCCUAGAAUAUUUCUUCACAAUAUCCUACAUAGUGUUUCCUUUUUUCUUUAGCAGGAUAUACAGGGAGAAAGCCUAUAGUGAAGAAAAGACACUAAAUAUUGACAUGCCAUUGAAUCAAAAUAAUUCAGUAUCUAUACAACAUCAGUAUUGUAAUCAUAAUAAGACAUACAGAAAUAUUAAAAUUUUAAUUAAUCCAGUUGUAUCAUUAUUAUCCUUCAAACCCAAAUGGACCAGGUAUCACUGA